This 317-nucleotide ribosomal RNA is filed under the name uncultured methanogenic archaeon. Its description in RNAcentral is "bacterial SSU rRNA". It matches the Rfam family "Archaeal small subunit ribosomal RNA", at positions 321 to 646 of the family's 1478-position model. The record is from RNAcentral. Lineage: Archaea; Methanobacteriati; Methanobacteriota.
CCCUACGGGGCUCAGCAGGCGCGAAAACUUUACAAUGCGGGAAACCGUGAUAAGGGACUCCGAGGCCCGUAAAUCGGGCUGUCCAUCUGUUUAAUAACAGGUGAAGAAAGGGCCGGGCAAGACCGGUGCCAGCCGCCGCGGUAAUACCGGCGGCUCGAGUGGUGGCCACUAUUACUGGGCUUAAAGCGUUCGUAGCUGGUCUGUUAAGUCUCUGGGGAAAUCUACUGGCUUAACCAAUAGGCGUUUCAGGGAUACUGGCAGACUAGGGACCGGGAGAGGUGAGAGGUACUCCAGGGGUAGGAGUGAAUCCCUGUAAU